AGCGGAGAAAUUCCAAUCGAACCUGGAGAUAGCUGGUUCUCUCCGAAAUAGCUUUAGGGCUAGCCUCAAGUGAUGAUUAUUGGAGGUAGAGCACUGUUUGGACGAGGGGCCCCUCUCGGGUUACCGAAUUCAGACAAACUCCGAAUGCCAAUUAAUUUAACUUGGGAGUCAGAACAUGGGUGAUAAGGUCCGUGUUCGAAAGGGAAACAGCCCAGACCACCAGCUAAGGUCCCAAAAUAUAUGUUAAGUGGAAAAGGAUGUGGCGUUGCCCAGACAACUAGGAUGUUGGCUUAGAAGCAGCCAUCAUUUAAAGAGUGCGUAAUAGCUCACUAGUCGAGUGACACUGCGCCGAAAAUGUACCGGGGCUAAACAUAUUACCGAAGCUGUGGAUUGUCCUUUGGACAAUGGUAGGAGAGCGUUCUAAGGGCGUUGAAGCAUGAUCGUAAGGACAUGUGGAGCGCUUAGAAGUGAGAAUGCCGGUGUGAGUAGCGAAAGACGGGUGAGAAUCCCGUCCACCGAUUGACUAAGGUUUCCAGAGGAAGGCUCGUCCGCUCUGGGUUAGUCGGGUCC
RNAcentral lists this ribosomal RNA (570 nucleotides) under Staphylococcus aureus. Its description in RNAcentral is "partial 23S ribosomal RNA". It matches the Rfam family "Bacterial large subunit ribosomal RNA", at positions 817 to 1391 of the family's 2925-position model. The record is from RNAcentral. Lineage: Bacteria; Bacillati; Bacillota; Bacilli; Caryophanales; Staphylococcaceae.